This is an RNA transcript of Panicum virgatum (switchgrass), 1801 nucleotides long. RefSeq lists it as uncharacterized. The transcript is spliced from 7 exons. The record is from RefSeq and is a predicted model, not a curated record. Lineage: Eukaryota; Viridiplantae; Streptophyta; Magnoliopsida; Poales; Poaceae.
ACCACCAGCACUACCAGCACCACCGCCGCCUAGCCCAGCACCCGCUCCGAUUUCCCAAUCCCGUCGCCCGGCCGUCGGCUCGCCACUCCCUCCCCCAGACGCGUCCCAAAUCCCGGCGUCCCACCUUCCUCAUCCCGGCGCGUCUCGGCCUCCCGUCGGCGACCCUCGGGCCAUCCUGGCGUAGCUCCGCGCGGCCGGCUCCCAUCCCGCCCCGGUGAUUCAUUCCGCUCGUCGCGCCGUCGACCGUUCCGAGUUCCGCCGCCGCCGCCCGUUCCAAGCUCCUCCGCCGUAGUCUCGGUCAACCGCCGGCCGGAGUCCUGCGACCUGAUCCACCUAACGCGUGGGAACUCAUACAUCAGUUCACCAUCAUUCGUGACUCCGUUCCAAGCUCCGCGAGGUCGCUCCGCUCCCGUCGCCAUCGCCCCAGGUGCAAGCCGAACUGCCGGGCAACAUCGAUGGUUGAAAAGAUUCUCCAGCUAGCUGCCCAUAUCACCUGCAAAAAUCACAUACCCCGCGCACCAAAUUGCUCAGUCCCUCCAAUUUCCUUAUCCAUCCUUCAAUCCCCACGGCCACAGAUCCAUUCCAUCGCAAUCGCUGCACACCGCGUCCACAGAUCAAGAAGCAUAGUGCACAGGAGAAGGAGAAUCAAAUUGGUUUGCUUCUUUUAUUUUCCACGUAAACAUCUAUUUAUUUCAGUUUCAGUUUGUCCCAAUCAACUAACAUUGGAAUCGCAUUUGUGGCGUUCUACCACGCUGGCGCCAGCUUCCUAUCCCUCCCCUUACUGUCUUCUUGGCUGUGAAUCUGGAAGCCCAAUUUUUGGAUGAUGCUGGUUGUAGCAGCAGUUGCAUAUGUGCCGCUCGCCGCCGGCGGAUGGGGCCACGUGCAGAGGCAAUGGGAUGGGAAGCGAUGUCACCGUGUGCUUCACUGUCAAGGGAGCUUGUACUUGCUGCUGUGCAUGAUCCCUUCAAUUCGACCAUCCCUGUCCCAGCGGCCUAGCCGAAUUUGUGCUCCCUGCUCUUUGUCCCCUAUUCUUCUUCACUCGAUACAGAAACUGAUGCAGAGGUGAGCUUAAUUGCCAAGUAAAGCCAGAUUGUGUCUAUAACUUCAUAUCAAGAUGAACGCUACUGAUUUUCCAGAGCUAUAAGGCAUCUGCAGGUGCAGGUGCCAUGGCCAUGGAGAUGAGGUUGUGGAAUGGCGGGUGUACAAUGGGGCGUACACGGAUGAGCUCUGUGAAAAAGAGCGGUAUACAUCUGCUUUCGGUUGUUGUCUUCGGAGGGAUAUGGAUGUCCGGAUGGAUCCUGCUGCUGACAGCCAUUUUGGCCAUGCUAGAGGCAACAAUCGGAUAGCAAACAAUGUGUCCGGAUGGAUCCUGCUGCUGACAGCUCAACCUGUGGAACACCCUCUGUAUAGUUCUUGAGCUGCAGAAUCCCCGUGAUACUUCCAUGACUAUAUAUGUCACUGUUUGUGACUAGAAACCUAUCUCUGAUACAUCCCAUGUAAUUGAAGUUUUUUCUAGUCAGACAUCAGAGUAUUUGUGAUCAGUCAGUUUGGCUUCAAAAUAAUUAUGGGUUUUUUCUUGACACUAAUCACUAUAUGCAUUUAAGAAUUAUGUAAUAAUGGAAGUUGUUAUCUAGAAUUUAUAACAAAAGAGAUAUGUUCUUGGUAGUUUGUGAUUAAAUUUACUCCAAAUAGAAGCAUUUCACUGUUCUCAUUAUAUGAUAUCACCAUGUAUAACUAUUUGUUAGUGACUAUAGUUGUUUUCAUUAGAUAUGCAUGCCUGAAGGUGGGAAGAAUAUUUGAU